ACGACCUUACUUGAACAGGAUCUGUUCUAUAGGAUCGUACCACUGCAUCCUUUACCAACAAGGAGGCAAGCACUAAGUCUGGUUGAUGAUCCAGAACCUCUGGGCCAGAGCGUGAUUGACGGCUAGGAUGCUCCGGAAGGUGCCAUCUGACGGCUGUGGAGGAUCGUUCCUGCUAGGCCUGUCCUGGUUAGGGUGGCUCAGAGGUUGUCUGACAGACU
RNAcentral lists this small nucleolar RNA (218 nucleotides) under Sorghum bicolor (sorghum). RNAcentral's name for it is "snoRNA Plant_U3". It matches the Rfam family "Plant small nucleolar RNA U3". From Rfam's summary of the family: Small nucleolar RNAs (snoRNAs) are involved in the processing and modification of rRNA in the nucleolus. The record is from Rfam by way of RNAcentral. Lineage: Eukaryota; Viridiplantae; Streptophyta; Magnoliopsida; Poales; Poaceae.